AUUGAACGCUAGCGGCAGGCUUAACACAUGCAAGUCGAGCGGGGGAAGGUAGCUUGCUACCGGACCUAGCGGCGGACGGGUGAGUAAUGCUUAGGAAUCUGCCUAUUAGUGGGGGACAACAUCUCGAAAGGGAUGCUAAUACCGCAUACGUCCUACGGGAGAAAGCAGGGGAUCUUCGGACCUUGCGCUAAUAGAUGAGCCUAAGUCGGAUUAGCUAGUUGGUGGGGUAAAGGUCUACCAAGGCGACGGUCUGUAGCGGGUCGGAGAGGAUGAUCCGCAACACUGGGACUGAGACACGGCCCAGACUCCUACGGGAGGCAGCAGUGGGGAAUAUUGGACAAUGGGGGGAACCCUGAUCCAGCCAUGCCGCAUGUGGGAAGAAGGCCUUAUGGUUGUAAAGCACUUUAAGCGAGGAGGAGGCUACUGAGACUAACACUCUUGGAUAGUGGACGUUACUCGCAGAAUAAGCACCGGCUAACUCUGUGCCAGCCGCCGCAGUAA
Molecule: ribosomal RNA, 501 nt
Filed under: uncultured bacterium
Lineage: Bacteria
Description: partial 16S ribosomal RNA
Rfam family: Bacterial small subunit ribosomal RNA
Source: RNAcentral